Carassius auratus (goldfish) is the source of this 1700-nucleotide long non-coding RNA. RefSeq lists it as uncharacterized. The record is from RefSeq and is a predicted model, not a curated record. Lineage: Eukaryota; Metazoa; Chordata; Actinopteri; Cypriniformes; Cyprinidae. The transcript is spliced from 3 exons.
CCCAUUUUCUUUAAUGUGGCAAAUAAGGCACGAGGCAUGGUUUCGUGACUCAUGUUUUUGUCGGUUCAGCAGGGAAAAUACUCUCCUGAGGGUAGGAAAGAGGCAGUCUCCCUGUUUGGACUUCCUCCUUCCUUCCUGGACGUCCUGGUCUCAACAAAGACCCCUCACCUGAGCAGGACAUUGAGAAGGAAUGUGAACACACUUGAAGAGAUAAUAUCGCUGUGAAGACCCAAACAAGACAAACACCACCGUAAAAGCAACAUAAGCAACAAUUAUGCCUUUUGGAAGGGGGUUGGGUGAUGGUGGUGGGGGGACACUUUCCCUUUUGUUUGGCAUGAACCUAGAAAACCCAUCCUCUCAGCAUCCAAGGUCUGGGCACGGACAAGCUGGAAACCCAGACACAGCGGAUGGAAUUGCCAUGGGAACGGGCCCCUUGACAACGAUUUCAUACUCAAGAGAAGAAAAGAGAGCAGUAUCUCCCCAGCAUCGCCAGCGGCCUGAAUAUUUGUGGCAGAAGCUCGUCGCUGAGACUGGAGGGAAGCAGCUAAUCUCCGCGCACAUCCGGGAAGAAUAAUCCAUUCAAAGUGGCACCUCACACAGUAGAAGAACAAAAAUUACCAUUCAUCUUCCAUAAAGGCGCACAGCUGAAGCUGCGUUUCAUCUCCUCAACUGACUCCGAGAAGAAGGUGCUGAAUGCGCGGCACAGACAGCGAAUGUGACAUCUGAUUUGUAGGCUGUCUAAUCACAGGAGAGAGUGUACAUUUUCUCUCAGAGAGAGCAAAGGAGGGCCUACCCUAAUUGAACGAGAGGUGAAACCGUUGUACAGCGAGCCACGAAUAACGCACUGUGCUUUUUGCACGUCACGUCUCGGAAGGAUGUCGUAAUUAAGUUUCGAAUGCACUAAGGCGUUCCAAUUAUCUAAAUUAGAGUUAAUUGAGCACAAGAGAUGAUUCUCUGUCCUAAUUAGAUUACCAAAAUAUUGAAGCUUCACGUGUAUGAAUCAUGUUCCUAACAAUCCCGCUCAGCUGCCAGUGAAGAUACAGGUGUAACAGCUGCAGGAGGAACAAAGAGGCAAUUAGCUGCACUUUUGCUGUGUGUGACUUAUAGGUAAAGGAACUUACAGAGCAAGCUGUUAUUCACAAGGUUUUCUACAAAAAAUAAAUAAAAAAAGGCAGAUCUCAACAAUCUCUAAAACAUUUGCACAGUCUACUUUCAAAAGUCCCAAACUUACGCAUUUUUCAUCAAAGACCAAAUUAUGUGAAUUAUGUUUUCCACAUUAAUAUUAAGAUUGUUUAGAAUGACCAUGCAUCCUCUUUGUGCUCACUGGUAUUUGUCUUUGUUUUUUCUUUUUUUUUGCUGAACUUAAUGAGUGAAAAGUUAAGAAAACCUUUGCCAGGAAAUGUGUGGAAAAAGGCUGAUGAAUGGUAAUUUUUGCAUAUAUUGAAUAACCGUUGUUAUUAAUAGAGUUGUUCUUACUGUAGGCCUAUAGUCAGCAUUUGUCUCAUUAGUGUUUGUUAAGUCGAGCACCGCUAUUACUACUGCUAAUACUAGUUAGUGAUUUGAAUAAAACCCUAACUAAAAUAUUAAAUUUAAGUAUGUAACUUGUCCUGUAAUGUUUGUUGCUACUGUUUUUAAUCAAGUCAAGUCUGCUUUAUUGUCAAUUCUUCCACAUGUACAGUACAUACAUAAAGAGAACUGAA